CUGUAUGUAUACACAUGGAUGUAUAACCAAUGUGAUUCUGCAAUCUGUACACGUGGAAAAAUGAGAAUUCAUACAGCAUUUGAAUCAAAUGUAUGAUAUAUCAAGAUCAUUGUAUUGUCUUGAGCAACUAAUAAAAAAAAAACACCCAGUUUAAAAAAAAAGAGUGGGGCUGAAAAAUCUAAUAGAAUCUGCUUGUACCUCUACUGAAAAUUCUAUAGAAUAUAGUGAUCAUGAGUUCUAGUUUCUUGCUGUAUGACCUCAGGCAAGUUAUGUGUUCCUCCACACUUCAGUUUUUAUCUGCCAAAUGGCGUUAGUAACAGCCCUCACCUCAAUGGGGUUUUGCAUAGAUUCCAUGUGAUGAUGCCUCCAAUGCUCCUAUACAGGGCUUGGCAUAUGUAAUAUUCAAAAAG
Molecule: long non-coding RNA, 410 nt
Filed under: Marmota monax (woodchuck)
Lineage: Eukaryota; Metazoa; Chordata; Mammalia; Rodentia; Sciuridae
Source: RNAcentral